UACGGAGGAUCCGAGCGUUAUCCGGAUUUAUUGGGUUUAAAGGGUGCGUAGGCGGCCUGUUAAGUCAGAGGUGAAAGGCGGUAGCUUAACUAUCGGAGUGCCUUUGAUACUGACGGGCUUGAAUACAGCUGAGGUAGGCGGAAUGUGACAAGUAGCGGUGAAAUGCAUAGAUAUGUCACAGAACACCGAUUGCGAAGGCAGCUUACUAAAGUGUAAUUGACGCUGAGGCACGAAAGCGUGGGGAU
Molecule: ribosomal RNA, 245 nt
Filed under: uncultured Pedobacter sp.
Lineage: Bacteria; Pseudomonadati; Bacteroidota; Sphingobacteriia; Sphingobacteriales; Sphingobacteriaceae
Description: partial 16S ribosomal RNA
Rfam family: Bacterial small subunit ribosomal RNA
Source: RNAcentral